Molecule: ribosomal RNA, 417 nt
Filed under: uncultured bacterium
Lineage: Bacteria
Description: bacterial SSU rRNA
Rfam family: Bacterial small subunit ribosomal RNA
Source: RNAcentral
UUCGAGCGGCGGACGGGUGAGUAACGACGUGAGCAACCUCGUCCUUCACAGGGGGAUAACACAGCGAAAGUUGUACUAAUACCGCAUGAGACCACAUUGGGACAUCCCAGAGGGGUCAAAGGAGCAAUCCGGUGAAGGGUGGGCUCGCGUCCGAUUAGAUAGUUGGUGAGGUAACGGCCCACCAAGUCGACGAUCGGUAGCCGACCUGAGAGGGUGAUCGGCCACAUUGGGACUGAGACACGGCCCAAACUCCUACGGGAGGCAGCAGUGGGGAAUAUUGGGCAAUGGGGGGAAACCCUGACCCAGCAACGCCGCGUGAGGGAAGAAGGUUUUCGGAUCGUAAACCUCUGUCCUUGGUGAAGAGUGAGAGACGGUAGCCAAGGAGGAAGCCCCGGCUAACUACGUGCCAGCCGCGGC